UCAGCUUACGUUCUCAGAUAUAACCAAUAUAUAACUAAUACUUAACCAGUAUAUAACCAAUUUAUAACCAUUUUAUAACCAAAAUUCAAUUAUGUUUGAAUAUGAGUGGUUUCUAUUAUAUCGUUUUUUCUUCGCCUGUAAACUUAUGAAAAUUGAUGUUACCUUAUUUUGCAUUUUAGGUGACAAUAUAGUAUUUUUCCAAAUUAACAUGUCAAAUUAUUGCAUCAGUUCAUAUAACAAACUUGCUUCAAUAUUUGUAUGCAUAUGAAAAAUAAAUUAGUUCAGUGAAAGCAAAAUUACUUGAAAUUACGUAUACGCCAUGACCAACUUUGAUAUGAAAGCCAUAAUAUGCCUUCAUAGCAUGGCAAUCGAGUUAAGUUUUUCUAAAACUCCAGUUAAAAUAGUAUCUAUAUACAACUUUUAGGAAACAUACUUUUUAUGGCUGUGUGUAUUUUUUAUUAAAUUUUCGAUUGCACUUUUAAAGUAACUUAAAAGAAAAUGAUGCAGUCAAUCUGGAAAUGCUAUGGAUGUGAUUGGAACGCAUUGUUUCCAAGGAUUUUAAUGAAUUGAAUACAUAUUAUAUUAAAAAAAAGAAAUUAUA
Long non-coding RNA from Bactrocera neohumeralis, 601 nucleotides. RefSeq lists it as uncharacterized. The transcript is spliced from 3 exons. The record is from RefSeq and is a predicted model, not a curated record. NCBI's taxonomy places the organism in Eukaryota, Metazoa, Arthropoda, Insecta, Diptera, Tephritidae.